UCCAUCCAACUGGGAAAGAGACAUGAGGGUCCAGCCUUGAUACACUAUGUCCAUACAUGUGUGCUCUUCAGGCAAGCCUACUGGGCAUUCACAGCAGCAAAACCAGCAAUCUCUCCACUCCCAGGCCCAGGGCACCGACUCUGAAUUGAACAAAACAAGGUUUACGGCAAGAUGAGAUGCAUUACGCACCAUUGGAGGAAACUGGAGCACCUCGAUGAAACCCACGUAGACACGGGAAGAACAUACAAGCUCCUUGUAGACAGCGGCUGGAAUUGAACCGGAGUCGCUGGUGCUGUAAUAGCGUUACACUAACCACUAUACUACCGUGCAGGCCACACCAAGUAAAGAUUGCAGAUUUCUUUCCCUUAAGAGCGUUAGUAAACCAGCCAUAAGGUCAGCUGACUCCUUGCAACACAGAACGACCUGACCCAUUCCACGCUGGACUCACUGCUGGGUGAGGGUGCUGAACUACAUUAGAAUGUUGAUUGGAGG
Molecule: long non-coding RNA, 492 nt
Organism: Pristis pectinata (smalltooth sawfish)
Lineage: Eukaryota; Metazoa; Chordata; Chondrichthyes; Rhinopristiformes; Pristidae
Exons: 3
Source: RefSeq, a predicted model, not a curated record